UCCGGUUUGUCACCGGCAGUCUCGCAUGAGUCCCCAACUAAAUGCUGGCAACAUGCGACGGGGGUUGCGCUCGUUGCGGGACUUAACCCAACAUCUCACGACACGAGCUGACGACAGCCAUGCACCACCCGUGAAGGUCCGGCCGAACCGACUCCGUGUUUCCACGGGUGCGACCUACAUGUCAAGCCCAGGUAAGGUUCUUCGCGUUGCAUCGAAUUAAAGAACAUGCUCCGCUGCUUGUGCGGGCCCCCGUCAAUUCUUUUGAGUUUUAGCCUUGCGGCCGUACUCCCCAGGCGGGGCGCUUAAUGCGUUAGCUACGGCGCAGGAAACCGGAGAGGCCCCCCACACCUAGCGCCCAACGUUUACAGCAUGGACUAC
This 378-nucleotide unclassified non-coding RNA is filed under the name uncultured Actinomycetes bacterium. Its description in RNAcentral is "uncultured actinobacterium contains 16S-23S intergenic spacer region". The record is from RNAcentral. Lineage: Bacteria; Bacillati; Actinomycetota; Actinomycetes.